AUGGGGCGCGGCAAGAUAGUGAUCCGGCGGAUCGACAACUCCACGAGCCGGCAGGUGACGUUCUCGAAGCGGCGGAACGGGAUCUUCAAGAAGGCCAAGGAGCUGGGUAUUCUCUGCGAUGCCGAGGUCGGUCUCGUCAUCUUCUCCAGCACCGGCCGCCUCUAUGAGUACGCCAGCUCCAGCAUGAAGUCAGUGAUAGAUCGAUAUGGACGAGCCAAGGAGGAGCAGCAACUUGUUGCAAACCCCAACUCGGAGCUUAAGUUCUGGCAAAGGGAGGCAGCAAGCUUGAGACAACAACUGCACAACUUGCAAGAAAAUCAUCGGCAGUUGAUGGGACAAGAUCUUUCUGGAAUGGGUGUCAAGGAACUACAGACUCUAGAAAAUCAACUGGAAAUAAGCCUGCGUUGCAUCCGGACAAAAAAGGACCAAAUCUUAAUUGAUGAGAUUCAUGAACUGAAUCACAAGGGGAGUCUUGUCCACCAAGAAAACAUGGAAUUAUACAAAAAGAUUAACCUAAUUCGUCAAGAAAAUGCUGAGUUACACAAAAAGCUCUCUGAGACGGAGGCAGCGACUGAAGUUAACCGAGAUUCAAGAACCCCAUACAAUUUUGCAGUUGUUGAAGAUGCCAAUGUUUCUGUUAAUCUUGAACUCAAUUCCCCGCAGCAACAAAAUGAUGUUCAGCAUACUGCGCCCCCUAAACUAGGAUUGCAACUACAUCCAUGA
Molecule: ribosomal RNA, 723 nt
Filed under: Triticum aestivum (bread wheat)
Lineage: Eukaryota; Viridiplantae; Streptophyta; Magnoliopsida; Poales; Poaceae
Description: partial small subunit ribosomal RNA
Source: RNAcentral